UCACUCGUCGCGACGGACGAAAUCGGCUACUCGACCCGAGUGCAAGUCGUCGGACUCGAUUUUAUAACAACUGCAUGAUGGUGAUGAUUCGCAACAGAGGACAGAACAGGCCUUAAUGAUUAAACGAGAUAUGAUGAGAACGAGAACGCAAGACAGAGAAAAAUGAUAGAGUAUAGCCGGUGAUCGACACAGAAAUCGAGACGAGAGACAGUGGAAAAACAAUUGACAGAGACAGACAUACGCACACUUAUAUAUCUAAUUUUUGAUCCUUUGCUCAAGGUGCAAAAUCGUACGUGGAGAAAACAUCCAGGAAAUGCGUUGUUAGUAGAAAAAAAAACCAAGCGGCGUUCCAGGUUGUUCUUGGCGAACGCGCACUUACGUCGGUAAUAAGCAUUUCCUCGCCGUCAUCGAGACCGGGUAUUGAGGUCUUUCCUUGCGAGACGAAGUGGUAGUCAUUGAUGUUUUUGGACAGCAGACACUUUUCUGAGGUUUUUGAAAAUAAAAAAAACACAUGCUUGGAUGAGCCAACGAACCUUGGGUGACCAUGUUUUCUUAUGGCUUUGCCACGGUUCCUGACGGAUUGAAACUACUGAGCCAUACCGAAUACAUUUGUAACUAUUUUAGAGUGAUAAAACGUAUUAAAAAGAGCUUCAGUAUGAUUCAGUAGCAUUGAUUACACACCCGCUUUUUUCGGGUUUCAUUUAAGGAUGGUAUGUUCUAUAUACAGGGGAAGGUGUACAAAUAAGUCUCGAUAACUACUUGGAUAUUUGAGACUGUCAAUCAAUCCCCGUUUUUGGGGGUUCUCGACUUUAGUAUACGACACUUU
This is a long non-coding RNA of Nasonia vitripennis (jewel wasp), 826 nucleotides long. RefSeq lists it as uncharacterized. The record is from RefSeq and is a predicted model, not a curated record. NCBI's taxonomy places the organism in Eukaryota, Metazoa, Arthropoda, Insecta, Hymenoptera, Pteromalidae. The transcript has 3 exons.